This 1213-nucleotide unclassified non-coding RNA is filed under the name Hevea brasiliensis (rubber tree). The record is from RNAcentral. Lineage: Eukaryota; Viridiplantae; Streptophyta; Magnoliopsida; Malpighiales; Euphorbiaceae.
GUAUUUUGAUCCUUCAUUGGACCAAAAAGUUGUGCCCUGAACACAGGCGAGCGUGCUGCAAGAACCACCUUGUGAGCAGCAUAUACUUCCCCAUCAACUUCAAAAUUUACAUCAGUUCCCCUUCCACUUUCUAAAAUCCUUCCAAAAUGAUGACCGAUAUCAGAGGGUGGCACUCCAAUGGCAUAGGUCUUUGGUCCCUCAGUCUGGGAUUUAACUACACCAACACAACAGCGAAUUACCAAGGUAUCAUCUUUGAGAUAAUCUGAUGUCUCUAGUUGAGUUCUUUUGAAAAAUCGUUUAUAGCCCCACAUACUGCCGCGAUAUUUCAGUGUGUAAGGCCCACUCUCAAGAGCUCUCCCGAAAUGGCUAUGAACCUUAUGGUUUUCUUUUCCACUCUGAUCCAUCAGCGAGAGCUCAAACAAUGCCCUCACGUCGGUGCCUUCGCUUGCGAGGGCUAUAAAUAAGGACACAUAGGCAGCGUUAUCUUCAGGGCUCUUUCCAUCAGGAUAAAAGUAGAUUGCCCACGCGUACCCACCAACAAUGAACGUAUCCGAUGCUGUGUACUUUCCAAUUCCGAUGCCCUUCGAUAAAGAGUAGCCGCCGAUUUUGAACUCGUGAGAUCCAUUUAUUGUCUCAGUGCGAGAGGUAGAAGCGGUAAGGUCUCCAGUGCUAGCUCUGAUUGUGCCCAUCAACAAAAGGCAAAUGGGUAAUAUAGAUUUUGAUAAUCUGAGAUUUCUUGAAAGGAGAAUUAAACUGGGUAUUAUCGAAUUGUGGGUUUAGUACACAAUUAGGGUUUCUGAGAGGUGGUGUAUCCGGAAAUUAGGGCGAUAAAGAGUCGAAAUUGGAGAUGGGAAAAGGGGGAGAGGAUAGAUUGGAUCUGGUAUUGAGCAGAGAAAGGAGGAUAAAGGGAAGGGGUUUGGUGGCGAAGGUGACUUUUGAUUGGGAAAUGCUAGAGAGCUUUAGAAUGAUACACGUUAUGAAUUUACAAGGAUGAGAAGCCAAAACCCAAAAAGCAGCCAUCUUUGGUUUUGUUUGUUUAUUUAUAUUAAUUAUUGUCAGAGCCGUGAGCCGACUUACGUGUUAUGGUAUUGGUAAGAAAAAGGUACGUUUUGAGGCCCUGUAAGUUCUGCCCAAAGCAUCAGAUUAACCAAAAAAAAAAAGAAAAGGUGUUGAAGAAGCUGCAUUUUUUAUUGCUUUCCUUAAAAAAAAAAAA